GACGUAGGGCGCGAGCGUUGUCCGGAUUUAUUGGGCGUAAAGAGCUCGUAGGCGGCUUGUCGCGUCGUCCGUGAAAACUUGGGGCUCAACCCCAAGCUUGCGGUCGAUACAGGCAGGCUAGAGUUCGGUAGGGGAGACUGGAAUUCCUGGUGUAGCGGUGAAAUGCGCAGAUAUCAGGAGGAACACCGGUGGCGAAGGCGGGUCUCUGGGCCGAUACUGACGCUGAGGAGCGAAAGCGUGGGGAGCGAACAGG
RNAcentral lists this ribosomal RNA (253 nucleotides) under uncultured bacterium. Its description in RNAcentral is "partial 16S ribosomal RNA". It matches the Rfam family "Bacterial small subunit ribosomal RNA", at positions 524 to 776 of the family's 1533-position model. The record is from RNAcentral.